This 76-nucleotide transfer RNA is filed under the name Burkholderiales bacterium. Its description in RNAcentral is "tRNA-Arg". It matches the Rfam family "tRNA". From Rfam's summary of the family: Transfer RNA (tRNA) molecules are approximately 80 nucleotides in length. Their secondary structure includes four short double-helical elements and three loops (D, anti-codon, and T loops). Further hydrogen bonds mediate the characteristic L-shaped molecular structure. tRNAs have two regions of fundamental functional importance: the anti-codon, which is responsible for specific mRNA codon recognition, and the 3' end, to which the tRNAs corresponding amino acid is attached (by aminoacyl-tRNA synthetases). tRNAs cope with the degeneracy of the genetic code in two manners: having more than one tRNA (with a specific anti-codon) for a particular amino acid; and 'wobble' base-pairing, i.e. permitting non-standard base-pairing at the 3rd anti-codon position. RNAcentral also lists the same sequence under 3 other names. The record is from RNAcentral. Lineage: Bacteria; Pseudomonadati; Pseudomonadota; Betaproteobacteria; Burkholderiales.
GCGCCCGUAGCUCAACGGACAGAGCACCGGCCUUCUAAGCCGGGGGUUGUGGGUUCGAUUCCCGCCGGGCGUGCCA